This 435-nucleotide ribosomal RNA is filed under the name uncultured bacterium. RNAcentral's name for it is "partial 16S ribosomal RNA". It matches the Rfam family "Bacterial small subunit ribosomal RNA", at positions 29 to 507 of the family's 1533-position model. The record is from RNAcentral.
AGCGAACGCUGGCGGCAGGCUUAACACAUGCAAGUCGAACGGGCUUCUUCGGAAGUUAGUGGCAGACGGGUGAGUAACACGUGGGAACGUGCCCUUCGGUUCGGAAUAACUCAGGGAAACUUGAGCUAAUACCGGAUACGCCCUUUUGGGGAAAGGUUGACUGCCGAAGGAUCGGCCCGCGUCUGAUUAGCUUGUUGGUGGGGUAACGGCCUACCAAGGCGACGAUCAGUAGCUGGUCUGAGAGGAUGAUCAGCCACACUGGGACUGAGACACGGCCCAGACUCCUACGGGAGGCAGCAGUGGGGAAUAUUGGACAAUGGGCGCAAGCCUGAUCCAGCCAUGCCGCGUGAGUGAUGAAGGCCUUAGGGUUGUAAAGCUCUUUUGUCCGGGACGAUAAUGACGGUACCGGAAGAAUAAGCCCCGGCUAACUUCGUG